CUGCUGCCUCCCGUAGGAGUCUGGUCCGUGUCUCAGUACCAGUGUGGGGGACCUUCCUCUCAGAACCCCUACGCAUCGUCGCCACGGUGGGCCGUCACCCCGCCGUCUAGCUAAUGCGCCGCAUGCCCAUCCGCCACCGGAUCGCUCCUUUGGCCACCGGAGGAUGCCCUCCGGUGGCGUCACGGGGUAUUAGGCCGCGUUUCCGCGGGUUAUCCCCCUGUGGCGGCCAGGUUGCAUACGUGUUACUCACCCGUGCGCCGGUCGCCGGG
Molecule: ribosomal RNA, 269 nt
Filed under: uncultured bacterium
Lineage: Bacteria
Description: partial 16S ribosomal RNA
Source: RNAcentral